AACGUAGGAGGCAAGCGUUAUCCGGAUUUACUGGGCGUAAUGCGCGUGCAGGUGGUUUGGUAAGUUGGAUGUGAAAGCUCCUGGCUUAACUAGGAGAAGUCGUUCAAAACUACCAGACUGGAGAGCAGUAGAGGGAGGUGGAAUUCCCGGUGUAGUGGUGAAAUGCGUAGAUAUCGGGAGGAACACCAGUGGCGAAAGCGGCCUCCUGGACUGUUUCUGACACUCAGACGCGAAAGCUAGGGUAGCAAACGGGAUUAGAAACCCUAGUAGUCC
This 273-nucleotide ribosomal RNA is filed under the name uncultured prokaryote. RNAcentral describes it as "partial 16S ribosomal RNA". It matches the Rfam family "Bacterial small subunit ribosomal RNA", at positions 524 to 796 of the family's 1533-position model. The record is from RNAcentral.